GCGUACUUAGGCAAGACGUAUACAUGUCAUGCAUGGAACAACAUCACGAACACACGUACACAGCUAGCUCUCUCAUCGGAGAGCCAUGGCCGCCGUACGCGCAUGCAGCUACCACUCUUUAUUCCCACGUCUCCCUACGAAGGAGCAGUAGCACUUGGUGGAUGGGUCCCUGGAGACUGGAGAGUGCCACGCCCGGUGACACGUACGUACGCGGUAAGCGUACACUACCCUUUUAUUAUUAGCUCUGCGCCACGCCAUGCACGUCGUCGAUCGUCACACCACCUCAAGGAUGGCGCCGGCCACCGUUUCCCAGCCACGGCCGCGGCGGCAGUCGCGCACGCACUGCUGCUGCUUGUCGUAGUCGCGGUGGUGCUGCUGGCACUUCUUCUCGCACCGGUCGCCGUGGCUGGCGUCGUCGUCAGCGUCGUCGCGUGCGCCGCCCUCCUCCUGUCGCCCGCACCGUUGCAUGCACCGCAGCCUUUUCAUCCAGUCGCUGUGCUGCUGGCAUCUUUUCUGGCACCGGUCGCUGUUCUCGUCGUCGUCGGCGGCGGCGUCCUCCUGUUGCUUACGCUCGCAGCGCUGCACGCACCACUGCCUCGCCUGCCGAUCGCUGUGGUGCUGGCAUCUCUUCUGGCACCGGCCGCUGUUGUCGUCGUCGGCGGCGGCGUCCUCCUCCUGUUGCUUACGCUCGCAGCGCUGCACGCACCACUGCCUCGCCUGCCGAUCGCUGUGGCGCCGGCAUUUCAUCUGGCACCGCCGGUCGCUGUCGUCCUCGUCGACGUUGGAGUCACGGCUGCCGCCGCGCUGCUGUCGCCGGCGCUCGCAAGCCUGGACGCACUGCUGCCUGCUUUCCCGGUCGUGGUGGCCCUCGCACUGCUUCUCGCAAGGGCAGCGGUCGCCGCUGUCCUCCUCCUCCUCGCCGCGCCGGCCGCCGCUGCCGCCCUCCUCCUCCCGCUCCCGGCUCUUGCAGUCCAUCAGGCAGCGCUGCCUCUCCCACCAGUCCCCGCGGUGGUGGCGCUCGCACCUCUCCCGGCACUUGCCCGCGCUCUCGCUGCCGCGACCGUACUCUUGCUCCAUGUCGACGGCCAGUCCGCGGCGGCGGCACCGCCUCAUGCACUCCUGGGUCUCCCACGGCUGGCCCUCGUGGCGGCGCAGGCACUGGCGCCGGCACUCGCCCCUCCCGGAGCGGGAGACGUAGGCGUCCACGCCGCUGUCGCCGUCCUCGCCCGCGUCAGCUUGCUGGUGCCGCUCGCGGCACUCGCUCUCGCAUUCCCUCUUCCGCGGGGUGUCCUUUCCGUACUGCCACUCGCACGCCUGCUUGCACCACCGCAGGUCCUCCUUGCGGUCCCGUUCGACCACUCCGUCCUCCGCCCCGGCCGUGGCUGCUACGACCAGCAGCACGCCGGCGAGCAGGAGGAACGCCCACCAUGAUGCACCCACACUACCCUUCCCCAUGUGUCGUCGUCCGCCACCCGACCAGUGAUCUCGUCGACGUACAAAUCACAAGCUACUAAAGGAGUGGCGGACUGUGUGGUGAACGAGGGUGAGGAGAUGGCUGGGUC
This 1562-nucleotide unclassified non-coding RNA is filed under the name Zea mays. RNAcentral describes it as "misc RNA Zm00001eb200490". Lineage: Eukaryota; Viridiplantae; Streptophyta; Magnoliopsida; Poales; Poaceae. The record is from RNAcentral.